RNAcentral lists this transfer RNA (64 nucleotides) under Megaloblatta sp. ECMD1. Its description in RNAcentral is "tRNA-Gly". Lineage: Eukaryota; Metazoa; Arthropoda; Insecta; Blattodea; Nyctiboridae. The record is from RNAcentral.
AUUUAUUUAAUAUAAUAAGUAUACUUGACUUCCAAUCAAAAAGUUUGUAAUAACAAAAUAAAUA